Molecule: ribosomal RNA, 117 nt
Filed under: Nocardioidaceae bacterium SCSIO 66511
Lineage: Bacteria; Bacillati; Actinomycetota; Actinomycetes; Propionibacteriales; Nocardioidaceae
Source: RNAcentral
UUCGGCGACCAUGGCGAAGGGGAAACACCCGGUUACAUUCCGAACCCGGAAGUUAAGCCCUUCAGCGCCGAUGGUACUGCACGGGAGACUGUGUGGGAGAGUAGGACGUCGCCGGAU